AUACCAGGUUUCCAAAGCGAAACGCUUUUCGUGUUUGCAUGAGAAAGCUUUUUGCCUUGGAAACCACCAGACAUGAGAAAGUAGCGAUUUACGAAAUAAAUCAGCGGAUUUCGAAUGGCUGGAGGAUUGUGGGAGCAGCUUUGCUGCGGAACAAUCCGUAAGUAUC
This 166-nucleotide small RNA is filed under the name Blautia faecicola. Its description in RNAcentral is "Clostridiales-1 RNA". It matches the Rfam family "Clostridiales-1 RNA". The record is from RNAcentral. Lineage: Bacteria; Bacillati; Bacillota; Clostridia; Lachnospirales; Lachnospiraceae.